Long non-coding RNA from Neogale vison (American mink), 882 nucleotides. RefSeq lists it as uncharacterized. The record is from RefSeq and is a predicted model, not a curated record. Lineage: Eukaryota; Metazoa; Chordata; Mammalia; Carnivora; Mustelidae. The transcript is spliced from 6 exons.
CUUAACCCACUGAGCCAUCCAGGCGCCCCAGUGGGUGAUAUUUUAAAUAGGCUGAUCAGAAAACUCUCUGAGAAGCUGGCAUUUUAACGAAUCUGAAUUCAGGAGAAAGAGUAGGUACUCCAGAUACGACUCUCUGGAGGGACGAUGGUCCAGGCAGAAGGAAGAGUUUGCAAAGGCUCUGACAGGGAAAUUUUCUUGGUGAGUUAUUACAGGAUCAACGAGGAGCAUGUAGAUUUACACUGCAGAGUGGAAUCCGUUCUAUCAGGCUUUCUUUCAAGCCUGCCACUCCAGUGAAAGCAAUCUUCUCAAGGUUAUCCACAUUGCCAACUCCACUGGUCACUUCUCGUCCUUCUACUGGACUUUCCUGCAGGAUUUGGUAAGAGGCUACUACCGUAAUCCAGGUCUGGGAAAGGAGGAGGAACCAGGAAAGGAGAAUGAAGAAGCAGCUUGUAAGUAAGAAAAACACAAACUCCUUGAAGACCUUGCUCAGUGCCUGGCACAUAGCAGGCUGGAGAAACCAGGAUUGUGGAGAACAGUGAUUUGGAGAUCCUGGGACCAAUUUAAGACAAGCUCACAUUUUGCUGAUGCCUCAGCUCCGGAGCAAUGAGCAAGGCAAAGGCUACACUUGGGUGCCAGGAAUUCCAGUCCCCAAAACGGAGAGAAAGAGCGGAGGGUAGACGAGUUGCCCUUCAAUAGAAAGAACCAGACACUGGUAGAAAGAAAACACGUCUGCUGCUAGCAGGAUCUCAAACCCAGUGGAGAAAUGAAAAGAGAAGUACCCCAGAGGAUCCUAAAACAAAAGAUACAUCUGCCCAACUGUGGCUUAAAAUCACCAGCGGGAGGAAGAGCAAGGAAUGCUCCCGAUGUAAAUCCACAGCAAAA